This is a long non-coding RNA of Homo sapiens (human), 878 nucleotides long. Ensembl annotates it as long intergenic non-protein coding RNA 2207. Lineage: Eukaryota; Metazoa; Chordata; Mammalia; Primates; Hominidae. The record is from Ensembl.
AGAGGCCUCUGCUCUGCCAGCCUGGGAGUCAUCUUCACCCUCAGGCUGGUAGACUCCAGUCUCUUAGGUCAGAAUGGGAUUAGAGACCCGUUCCUGAACCAGUCACACACAGCGGGUGAAACUGCUAUGAUUGGUUUAGACUUAGAGACUGGAAUGGAUGCUGAAAACAUCGCCCAUUUCAUCUGUUUCUUCAGUCCCCAGAUAGCAGAUGACUGGUAGGAAGAUGAGGCAAGUUUGCGGUCCAUUGUCAUGGAUAGUGGAGACAACACUGGGCCAGAAGUGGUAAGACCUGAAUCCAAGACUCAGCUCUGCCACUUGCUAAAUGGGACUUUGAAUAAACCAUUUCUCUGCACUUAAGUUCCUUACCAACAAAACGAGGGAAGUGGCCUACAUGCCUAGAUAUCAACAUUUCAUGUCACGUAGAGAUCUAGCAUCACAAGAAUCCAAGUCAUCCUCUGUUGCCUUUAAGAAAUUAGAAUUAAAGGAAUCAGAAUUGAAGUGAAUCUGACUACACUAAGCCUAUCACUUGUGACAGCCAUGGGAAGAUAUCAUUGGUUGCUGAGGAGCAGAAAUAAGCAGAGACCUAUUGUGUUAGGUUAUCAUUCAUUUCAGUUGUUCCCCUUUGGCCUGUGAAGAGUGGAACAGGAGUUACACAAAUAGAGAUGAUUGCCUCUCCAUCCUGACAAAGUAUGAUAAAGACCACCGAAGUGUUGUACGCAAGAAAGCACAGGAUGGCUGGGAUGAGUGAACUAUGUAUCCCAGGUUUUACUUAGGCCUCAGCAUCCAGUGGUAACCCUGUCAAUUCUUUGCUCUCUCUGAUCAUUUGCAAGUAUUGAGAGGAAGACACUAUUUUGGGGUUAAUUAGAAUCAUACAGUAU